This is a long non-coding RNA of Bos taurus (domestic cattle), 2006 nucleotides long. The record is from Ensembl. Lineage: Eukaryota; Metazoa; Chordata; Mammalia; Artiodactyla; Bovidae.
CGACAUGAGAACCAUACAGAGGCUUGAUAAAAUUUAGCAGAGACUUGGGCAGCAGCCCGUGUGGAAUCCAUUCGUUUUUCUAUUUAAAAAGGUGGGAGAGGGGAAAACCUUCAUUCCAAAGCUGCAAAUGAACUUACACCAUCUGCUCCUCUCCCAGCCAAGGAAUACAAUUCCAGGAAGCAGGAGAAGGGAGGCCUGUCGGGGCUGAUCGGUGAUGGCUGUCAGCUGUGAACAGUUGUUUAUCCUCAAUGACUAUUUCCACGUAGACUUCUAGCAGGGGUCUGCAGUUUCUGCAGUUCUUGACAUGGCAGAGAGGAAACAUAACCUCUGAUGCCGUGUACAGCAGUUCUCCACCGCCCCCCCCUUCCUCCACCAUUUGACUGACAUGUGGUGGCCUUGGCUGAGUCCUCCUUGGGACUCGGUAACAAACCCAGAGACAAAGAAAAGCCGGGUCUCGCCUGACUCUGACCCACCCCACAGGGAGCCUGCGCCGGCAAGGCAAGGAAACACCCUUCAGUUGUUCCAGGGACUAAGGUUUCACUUGGUUCAAAGAAACGUUCUUUGUGCUCUCAGGAACUAUGCUUCUGAGUAACAGCUGUCAGAGUCCUACACAAAUAGCUGCAUGUGGAUUUGCCACAGGAUCCGGGGCGGUGGGCUUUGCUAUGAAUUCUAACCCUAUGAUUUCAGCACCUUUUCUCUCCAUGUGUGUGGAGGGGAGAGGGGACUAGAAUCAUUUCUGGAUAGGAAGUCAUACAGGCAAAAAAAAAAAAACAACCCGCAGAAACAAACAAAAAAGAGGACGCUUUACUUUGAGUACAAAGGAGCCACACCUCGGCCUGAAAGGUCCUUCAAGAGAGAUACGGAACUGGACAGCUAAAACCACAUGCUGCCCAAGCCUCAGUGAGAGCGAGGUGAAACGGAAACUUCCUGUUUAUUUUAGUCCUUUAAAGCUGUGGGGGCGGGGAUUUAAACCAGGGCUGUAGGACUCGGAAGGAAUCACAACUGCUAGAUCAGUCUGGAAAAUUGUGGCACCCCCUGGCCCACGGACCAUGCCCUCCGGUUCCCACCUGAGGACUAGACAGAGGUAAUAGCAUAAUCAAGCAAAGGAGUGAGCCAGGACUACCACCAGAUGCUUUCAAUUAGCCAAUUUUAACCUUACAGCCUCCUUCUUGGGGUGGGGGAGGGGAGCAGGGGUGAGGAUGGAGAGCAAAUGCCAUCCUCGUUGUUUUUUUGUUUUUGUUUUUUUGUUUUUACACAAUAGAGGCCUGCCCCGGAGGCUAAAUGACCCAGUAACACACAAACAGCAAAACAAAGGCUGAGUCAGGACCUGGCUGGGUCUCAGGCCUUACCCCCAGAGCAGCUACUUCCUCCUAAAUACCUCUAAGCCCUCAUAUCUUGGGCCUUUAGUUUUAGCACCUGGGCUGCCAUGCUUUUGCUCCUAGUUACGCUGUUUCCACCACCUCCAUCUGGGGAUCUCUGUGGAAGUGAAACCGCACCGCAGAUGGGACUCAAGCCCUAUUGUGCCUCAGAUGGGACUUGAACCUACAAUCUUUAGCUUAGGAAAGGGGUUUGAACCCCAAAUCUCCCAGCUGAAACUGCAUACGUCGUCUCAGGACUUAAAGAAGCUCAGGUUCUUUGAGUCUUGGCGAGAAAGAAUUCGCAACAUCUAGAUGAGUGUAUGAGUGAAGAACUGGGAGAACUGCUGGUAUACCAUGAGCCACACCACACUGGCAUGUGGGAUCUUAAUUCCCUGACCAGGGAUCAAACCUCUGUUCCCUGCAGGAGAAGCUAGGAUUCUCAACCACUGGACUGCCAGAGAAGUCCCUAGAAGAGCUCUUUAUAUAUUUACUGAGAUGCGAUUGACACACAGCACUGCAUAAGUUUAAGCACAGAGGUCCUGGAACAUAGUGAGAACCAGCACCCCGCCCCCCACCGCCCCGGCUGCCAAGAUUUUUGAAUGAGUUAUUCAAUCAUGUAGUAUUUUAAAAUAUAUUCUUUGUCUAUUA